RNAcentral lists this ribosomal RNA (371 nucleotides) under uncultured bacterium. Its description in RNAcentral is "bacterial SSU rRNA". It matches the Rfam family "Bacterial small subunit ribosomal RNA", at positions 29 to 429 of the family's 1533-position model. The record is from RNAcentral.
AACGAACGCUGGCGGCAGGCCUAACACAUGCAAGUCGAACGCUGUAGCAAUACAGAGUGGCAGACGGGUGAGUAACGCGUGGGAACCUUCCCAGUGGUGCGGAAUAGCUCAGGGAAACUUGAGGUAAUACCGCAUAAGCCCCUAGGGGGAAAGAUUUAUCGCCAUUGGAUGGGCCCGCGUCGGAUUAGCUAGUUGGUGAGGUAAUGGCUCACCAAGGCAACGAUCCGUAGCUGGUGAGAGAAUGACCAGCCACACUGGGACUGAGACACGGCCCAGACUCCUACGGGAGGCAGCAGUGGGGAAUCUUGGACAAUGGGCGCAAGCCUGAUCCAGCCAUGCCGCGUGAGUGACGAAGGCCUUAGGGUUGUAAA